This 1768-nucleotide unclassified non-coding RNA is filed under the name Komarekiella sp. N7-MA1. Its description in RNAcentral is "bacterial SSU rRNA". The stretch from base 1 to 1164 matches the Rfam family "Bacterial small subunit ribosomal RNA", at positions 356 to 1533 of the family's 1533-position model. Lineage: Bacteria; Bacillati; Cyanobacteriota; Cyanophyceae; Nostocales; Nostocaceae. The record is from RNAcentral.
GGGGAAUUUUCCGCAAUGGGCGAAAGCCUGACGGAGCAAUACCGCGUGAGGGAGGAAGGCUCUUGGGUUGUAAACCUCUUUUCUCAGGGAAGAACACAAUGACGGUACCUGAGGAAUAAGCAUCGGCUAACUCCGUGCCAGCAGCCGCGGUAAUACGGAGGAUGCAAGCGUUAUCCGGAAUGAUUGGGCGUAAAGCGUCCGCAGGUGGCAGUGUGUGUCUGCUGUUAAAGAGUGAGGCUCAACCUCGCAAAAGCAGUGGAAACUACACAGCUAGAGUACGUUCGGGGCAGAGGGAAUUCCUGGUGUAGCGGUGAAAUGCGUAGAGAUCAGGAAGAACACCGGUGGCGAAAGCGCUCUGCUAGGCCUGUACUGACACUGAGGGACGAAAGCUAGGGGAGCGAAUGGGAUUAGAUACCCCAGUAGUCCUAGCCGUAAACGAUGGAUACUAGGCGUGGCUUGUAUCGACCCGAGCCGUGCCGUAGCUAACGCGUUAAGUAUCCCGCCUGGGGAGUACGCACGCAAGUGUGAAACUCAAAGGAAUUGACGGGGGCCCGCACAAGCGGUGGAGUAUGUGGUUUAAUUCGAUGCAACGCGAAGAACCUUACCAAGGCUUGACAUGUCGCGAAUUUCGCUGAAAGGUGAAAGUGCCUUCGGGAGCGCGAACACAGGUGGUGCAUGGCUGUCGUCAGCUCGUGUCGUGAGAUGUUGGGUUAAGUCCCGCAACGAGCGCAACCCUCGUUUUUAGUUGCCAGCAUUAAGUUGGGCACUCUAGAGAGACUGCCGGUGACAAACCGGAGGAAGGUGGGGAUGACGUCAAGUCAGCAUGCCCCUUACGUCUUGGGCUACACACGUACUACAAUGCUACGGACAGAGGGCAGCAAGACAGCGAUGUCAAGCAAAUCCCGUAAACCGUGGCUCAGUUCAGAUCGCAGGCUGCAACUCGCCUGCGUGAAGGAGGAAUCGCUAGUAAUUGCAGGUCAGCAUACUGCAGUGAAUUCGUUCCCGGGCCUUGUACACACCGCCCGUCACACCAUGGAAGCUGGCAACGCCCGAAGUCAUUACUCCAACCUUUCGGGGGGGAGGAUGCCUAAGGCAGUGCUGGUGACUGGGGUGAAGUCGUAACAAGGUAGCCGUACCGGAAGGUGUGGCUGGAUCACCUCCUUUUAGGGAGACCUACCCACUCAAGUGUCGAAAAACAAUCAGUUACAUAGAUAUUGAGUUGGUCAUCCCAGGUCGUGAGUUGAGCAUUUGUUGAGUGCUUUCAAACUAUAAUUAGGUUCAAGAAUGGGCUAUUAGCUCAGGUGGUUAGAGCGCACCCCUGAUAAGGGUGAGGUCCCUGGUUCGAGUCCAGGAUGGCCCACCUGAAUCAAUGCAAAAUUAAAAAUGCGAAAUUCAAAAAGGUUUCUUAAUUUUGAAUUUUGAAUUUGGAAUUUUGAAUUAUUUAGGGGGGUUUAGCUCAGUUGGUAGAGCGCCUGCUUUGCAAGCAGGAUGUCAGCGGUUCGAGUCCGCUAACCUCCACCUAGAAAACAAAUGUGAGCAAACUCAGCAACAUGACAUAAAUCAAGUCAGACUGCUGAGGAUUUCUCAGCCAGAACCAUGAAAACUGCAUAGUAACGCGAAAUUAGCAGGUAGACACAGACAUUGAAAAGAUGAUUGUGUAUACAGGUGAAACACCAAUGAAAAAGUUUAAUUACGAAUUAGGAAUUACGAAUUAAACAGUAGUGGUCAAGCUAAUAAGGGCUAAUGGUGGAUACCUAGGCACACAGAG